Molecule: ribosomal RNA, 495 nt
Filed under: uncultured bacterium
Lineage: Bacteria
Description: partial 16S ribosomal RNA
Rfam family: Bacterial small subunit ribosomal RNA
Source: RNAcentral
GAUGAACGCUGGCGGCGUGCUUAACACAUGCAAGUCGAACGAAGCAAUUUAGCGGAAGUUUUCGGAUGGAAGCUAAAUUGACUGAGUGGCGGACGGGUGAGUAACGCGUGGGUAACCUGCCUCACACUGGGGGACAACAGUUAGAAAUGACUGCUAAUACCGCAUAAGCGCACAGGGCCGCAUGGUCCGGUGUGAAAAACUCCGGUGGUGUGAGAUGGACCCGCGUUUGAUUAGCUAGUUGGUGGGGUAACGGCCUACCAAGGCGACGAUCAAUAGCCAACCUGAGAGGGUGGCCGGCCACAUUGGGACUGCGACACGGCCCAAACUCCUACGGGAGGCAGCAGUGGGGAAUAUUGCACAAUGGGGGAAACCCUGAUGCAGCGACGCCGCGUGAGCGAAGAAGUAUUUCGGUAUGUAAAGCUCUAUCAGCAGGGAAGAAAAUGACGGUACCUGAUUAAGAAGCCCCGGCUAACUACGUGCCAGCAGCCGCAGUAA